RNAcentral lists this transfer RNA (73 nucleotides) under Parascaptor leucura (white-tailed mole). RNAcentral describes it as "tRNA-Gln". It matches the Rfam family "tRNA". From Rfam's summary of the family: Transfer RNA (tRNA) molecules are approximately 80 nucleotides in length. Lineage: Eukaryota; Metazoa; Chordata; Mammalia; Eulipotyphla; Talpidae. The record is from RNAcentral.
UAGAAUAUGGUGUAAUGUGGUAGCACGAAGAUUUUUGAAUUCUUAAGAGCAGGUUCAAGCCCUGUAAUUCUAG